GCGGGCGUAGUUUAAUGGUAGAACAUGAGCUUCCCAAGCUUAUAGCGCGAGUUCGAUUCUCGUCGCCCGCUCCA
RNAcentral lists this transfer RNA (74 nucleotides) under Kitasatospora purpeofusca. RNAcentral's name for it is "tRNA-Gly-CCC". It matches the Rfam family "tRNA". Rfam says of the family: Transfer RNA (tRNA) molecules are approximately 80 nucleotides in length. Their secondary structure includes four short double-helical elements and three loops (D, anti-codon, and T loops). Further hydrogen bonds mediate the characteristic L-shaped molecular structure. tRNAs have two regions of fundamental functional importance: the anti-codon, which is responsible for specific mRNA codon recognition, and the 3' end, to which the tRNAs corresponding amino acid is attached (by aminoacyl-tRNA synthetases). tRNAs cope with the degeneracy of the genetic code in two manners: having more than one tRNA (with a specific anti-codon) for a particular amino acid; and 'wobble' base-pairing, i.e. permitting non-standard base-pairing at the 3rd anti-codon position. RNAcentral also lists the same sequence under 59 other names. Lineage: Bacteria; Bacillati; Actinomycetota; Actinomycetes; Kitasatosporales; Streptomycetaceae. The record is from RNAcentral.